This 253-nucleotide ribosomal RNA is filed under the name uncultured bacterium. RNAcentral's name for it is "partial 16S ribosomal RNA". It matches the Rfam family "Bacterial small subunit ribosomal RNA", at positions 524 to 776 of the family's 1533-position model. The record is from RNAcentral.
UACGUAGGGUGCAAGCGUUAAUCGGAAUUACUGGGCGUAAAGCGUGCGCAGGCGGUUAUGUAAGACAGGUGGGAAAUCCCAGGGCUUAACCUUGGAACUGCAUUUGUGACUGCAUAGCUAGAGUACGGUAGAGGGGGAUGGAAUUCCGCGUGUAGCAGUGAAAUGCGUAGAUAUGCGGAGGAACACCGAUGGCGAAGGCAGUCCCCUGGGCCUGUACUGACGCUCAUGCACGAAAGCGUGGGGAGCAAACAGG